AACUGUGUGGACAGAAUGACAGAAUGACAACCCAACUGCGUAGUACCCGCCUACGCGAGUCCAAUAAUGGAUCAGUCACUGAUUGUUCUGUUACUAAGAAAUUCACUGAAUUUAACUUAUCAGUGACUCCAUACCCAGUGAAACGUGGGGAAAUAUUCUAUUUGCAAGGAGUACUAAAGAUCAAGAGAACCAUACAUUGGGGUAUACUACAUGCCACAGCAUACUACAUGCCACAGCGACAUACAAUUACAGGGAUUACACUAAUAUUACUUUCUUGGAUGACAAAUUCAAUUUAUGCGACCUCUUAUAUGAUUUUAUUAAGGAAUAUUGUCCAAUAAAACCAGGAACAUAUCAUAUAAACAUUCCUUCUGGACUGCCAAGCAUCUUAUGGCCAGGUCAGUAUUAUGGUAAAGUAACUGCUUACAAUGAGAAAGGAGAGCAGAUAAUGUGUAUAAUGAAACAAGCCACCGUUGAAUAAUGAACAUAAUUAUUAUUAACACAUGCAUGUAAUAUACACAACAUAAAGAGACAAAAAUAAAAAUAGAUGGACAAGUUUUGAGACAGUUAUAUACUUUA
This is a long non-coding RNA of Amphimedon queenslandica, 576 nucleotides long. RefSeq lists it as uncharacterized. NCBI's taxonomy places the organism in Eukaryota, Metazoa, Porifera, Demospongiae, Haplosclerida, Niphatidae. The transcript is spliced from 4 exons. The record is from RefSeq and is a predicted model, not a curated record.